UUAGAGUACAGCAUAAGUUGUUUAUAAGUCAGUGGAAAACCAAAUGUUUUCACAUUUGAAAACUAAUGUGUCCAAGCAGUACAUAACCAUGCCAGAGUCAUGCAUGGACGUGUGAGUAUCUCCCUUUUAGAGAUGUUUUGCCAGCUGGGAGGUGGACCUUUUUAGGCAAGUGACAUUUCUCAUGUUCUUUUCUUAUUUGUAAGCUACACCCUCUCGGUUUUCUCUGCUCUGCCAACACUAGUGGAAUAUGAUCACAUCCCAGGGAUCAGUGUCAUUUAGGGAUGUGACUAUGGGCUUCACUCAAGAGGAGUGGCAGCAUCUGGACCCUGCUCAGAGGACCCUGUACAGGAAUGUGAUGCUGGAGAACUACAGCCACCUUGUCUCAGUAGGGUAUUGCAUUCCUAAACCAGAAGUGAUCCUCAAAUUGGAGACAGGCAAGGAGCCAUGGAUAUUAGAGGAAAAAUUUCGAAGCCAGAGUCAUCUGGGUGGGUUAGUGCCAGAUGGAAUUUAAAGAAUUAAUUAAUACCAGUAGAAACUAUUCAAGAACGAAGUUCAAUGAGUUUAACAAAGGUGGAAAAUGUUUCUGUGAUGAAAGCAUGAAAUAAUUCAUUUUGAAGAGGAACCUUCUGAAUAUAAUAAAAAUGGGAACAGCUUCUGGCUGAAUGAAGACCUCAUUUGGCAUCAGAAGAUUAAAAAUUGGGAGCAACCUUUUGAAUACAAUGAAUGUGGGAAAGCUUUCCCUGAGAAUUCACUCUUCCUUGUACAUAAGAGAGCUUACACAGGACAGAAAACAUGCAAAUAUACUGAACAUGGGAAAACCUGUUAUAUGUCAUUUUUUAUUACUCAUCAGCAAACACAUCCAAGAGAGAACCACUAUGAAUGUAAUGAAUGUGGAGAAAGUAUCUUUGAGGAAUCCAUUCUCUUUGAACAUCAGAAUGUUUACCCAUUCAGCCAGAAUUUAAAUCCCACUCUAAUUCCGAGAACCCACUCAAUUAGCAAUAUUAUUGAAUAUAAUGAAUGUGGAACCUUUUUCAGUGAAAAAUUAGCCCUUCAUUUACAACAGAGAACACAUCCAGGGGAAAAACCUUAUGAAUAUCAUGAAUGUGGAAAAACCUUCACCCAGAAGUCAGCCCACACAAGACAUCAGAGAACACACACAGGGAAAACCCUAUGAAUGUCAUGGAUGUGGGAAGACCUUCUAUAAGAAUUCAGACCUCAUUAGAAAUCAAAGAAUUCACACAGGGGAGAGACCUUACAGAUGUCAUGAAUGGAGAAAUCCUUCAGUGAAAAGUCAUCCCUUACUCAACAUCAGAGAACACACGCGGGGAGAAAUCAUAUGAAUGUCAUGAAUGUGGGAAAACCUCGUUUAAGUCAGUUCUAACUGUGCAUCAGAAAACACACAGGGGAGAAGCCCUAUGAAUGCUAUGCAUGUGGGAACACCUUUCUUGGAAAAUCCGACCUCAUUAAACAUCAGAGAAUUCACACAGGAGAAAAACCUUAUGAAUGUAAUGAAUGUGGGAAGUCAUUCUCUGAGAAGUCAACCCUUACUAAACAUCUAAGAACACACAGAUGGGAAAUCUUAUGAAUGUAUUCAAUGUGGAAAAUUUUUCUGCUGCUACUACAGUUUCACAGAACAUCUGAGAAGACACACAGGGGAGAAACCUUUUGGAUGUAAUGAAUGUGGGAAAACCUUCCAUCAGAAGUCGGCCCUAAUUGUUCACCAGAGAACUCAUAUAAGACAGAAACCCUAUGGAUGUAAUGAAUAUGGAAAAUCAUUCUGUGUGAAGUCAAAACUCAUUGCACAUCAUAGAACAUACAAAGGGGAGAAACCCUAUGAAUGUAAUGUUUGUGGAAAAUUAUUAUUAAGUCAAAACUAACUGUACAUCACAGAACACACUUGAGGUGAAACCCUAU
RNAcentral lists this long non-coding RNA (1914 nucleotides) under Pan troglodytes (chimpanzee). RNAcentral's name for it is "long non-coding RNA NONPTRT002139". The record is from RNAcentral. Lineage: Eukaryota; Metazoa; Chordata; Mammalia; Primates; Hominidae.